UGAGUUCAACUACCAGUGGCCAAUGAUUUAAUCAAACGUGCCCAUGUAAUGAAGCCUCCAUAAAACCCCAAAAGGACAAGGUUCAGAGAGCUUCUGGAUUGGUGGACACAUGGACAUCUGGGGAGAGCACUGUGCUUGGAGACAGCAAGCCUUCCUUCCCCGAUAUCUUGCCCUAUGCAUCUCUUCCAUAGGGCUGUGCUUGAGUUAUAUCUUUUUACAACAAAUUGGUGAUCUAGAUAUAUAUCACCAAUUACGAUCGGUCCUCACCGCUUCAGCCUGGCUUGGUUUAUCUUCACACUGGAAAGAUCAUUUGGCUUGCCCAUCUCUUUUCAAGCAGCAAUUUGUUAAAAAAAAAAAUCAGUGAAUACAGCACAAAACUGUAGGCGGUCUUGGCCAUCUCUCAGUCCUAUCAAACAUUGUGAAAAUGAUCAGCAGGGCAAGAGUUGCAUCUGAAACCUACUUGAAUCCUCUGACAAGACUCUAUGAGAAACGAUUCAAUCCAAAGAAGAGCUGGGGUGGAUUUCAAAAGACAUGACAUCCCCUUUCCCAAAUAAUUCAGCCAUAAUUUUGGGGAGACAGAGGGCCGCCAUUUUGAAAAUGGUGUCAAUUCUAUGAUUGGUCACUUUUGGGAGAUUCUAUACCUUGGGAGGUAAUGAGGGUGAAGAAUUGAACUAAAAUUAGGGCUAAACAGUUCCAGAGAAAACAGAUGUGACCUGACCCUUUUCUUUGUUAGGUGAUUGCAGUGGUUCUGAAACUCAGAGUCAGCAUCACUUUGGGGGUUUAGAAACUCUUAGAUUCCUCAGAUUCUGAUUCUGUAGGUCUGGUGGGGCCCGAUUGUAUGUCUAUAUGUGGCUCUGAUGGCAAUUUCCCUUCUUUCUGAGAUUAUCUAUUUGGGAAAAAAGUUUUGGUCUCAGCACAGUUGCUUCCUGGCGCCUCUCCGCUAACCUGUGCGAAGGCUUCCUUUGCCUCUGAUCACUGUUCCUCACCUUCCGGCUGGCAGUGGAGGGUGGACAUGGGCACGAUGCUCUUGGCUGCCAGACCUCAAAUCCCCAGUGAUUUCCCUCUGAGGAAAUAGAGGUUUACCCCAGAACACAAACAACUCUGCCUUGAAUAUUAUACAUCACUGUAUACUCUUUGGCCCAUUGUUAUGGGUUGAAUUGUGUCCCACCAAAAAAGAUAUGUUGGAGUCCUAAUCCCUUUGGAAUGUGACCUUUUAGAAUCUUUACAGAGGUAAUGAGUUAAAAUAAGGUCGUGAGGGUGGGCCCUAAUCUACUAUGACUGAUACCUUUAUAAGAAGAGGAAAUGUGGGCACAGGUGCACAUACAGGGAGAGCGCCAUGUAAGCAUGAAGGUGGCCAACUACAAGCCAAGUUGAGGAGCUUGGACCAGAUUCUCCCUUGUGGCCCUUAGAGGGACCAAUGCUGCUGACACCUUAGUCUUGGACUUGUAGAUUAAGAACUAGGAGACAAUAAAUUUCUUUCGUUUAAGUCA
Equus caballus (horse) is the source of this 1490-nucleotide non-coding RNA. NCBI's taxonomy places the organism in Eukaryota, Metazoa, Chordata, Mammalia, Perissodactyla, Equidae. The record is from RefSeq and is a predicted model, not a curated record.